GCCAAACCGAGACCAACUUUACAAUAUUUGAAUCCGGAUGCUGCCGUUACCGUCGCCCGCCGCUGCUGGACCGUUAUAAUUAAUGAAUCGUUAAACUAGUUACGCGUUUAAAAGCUUCAUUAAUAAAACUUGUUACUUUCCAUGGAGUGCGCGUAUAUCAUUCGCGUUUGUACAAUUAAUUCAAAACUUUAUAAUCUGCCGCCCGUUUGGAGUGUUGUGCGAAAUUAGUUUUCAUUAGGAAUGGUGUUUUGUUUUGUGUGUAAAUAGGUAAUGUUACACUACUCUAUCCGCAUUACCUACUCUAUGCAUUCGGGCCCCUCGUUUCCUUAAUUAUGAAUGUGGAGUCCGGACUAUUCACGUUUCUAAAUAUUUUACUCGAGAUUUCCGUAAUCAGAUUAUUCUCGAAUUAAAUGAAAAUAAGUGACACGGCUUUAAUCUGAUAUACCCGAGCUUGAUGUUCGCUUUGGAGAACAUUUUGACUACAAAUGACCUCCUUUAGGGUUUUAUAUGGACAACGAAAAUGUUUAUGGUUCGCCGGAAUGCAGAAUUGAAACACGAAUUUUCAAUUAAAGAAGACAAACAUCGGAGUGCGUCCCUUCGCUAAUUAAAGAUUUUGUAAACUAAGUGUAGAUACUAAGUAAACCAUUGUAAAAUCCAUUAA
Photinus pyralis (common eastern firefly) is the source of this 661-nucleotide long non-coding RNA. RefSeq lists it as uncharacterized. The transcript has 2 exons. NCBI's taxonomy places the organism in Eukaryota, Metazoa, Arthropoda, Insecta, Coleoptera, Lampyridae. The record is from RefSeq and is a predicted model, not a curated record.